ACCUACUUUGCUUAGUGGUUAUAGCGACCGUUUCAUAUGCGGUUUUUCAUCAGUUCGAAUCUGAUAGUAGGUA
This 73-nucleotide transfer RNA is filed under the name Trentepohlia odorata. Its description in RNAcentral is "tRNA-Met". It matches the Rfam family "tRNA". Rfam says of the family: Transfer RNA (tRNA) molecules are approximately 80 nucleotides in length. The record is from RNAcentral. Lineage: Eukaryota; Viridiplantae; Chlorophyta; Ulvophyceae; Trentepohliales; Trentepohliaceae.